This 497-nucleotide ribosomal RNA is filed under the name uncultured bacterium. RNAcentral describes it as "partial 16S ribosomal RNA". It matches the Rfam family "Bacterial small subunit ribosomal RNA", at positions 28 to 507 of the family's 1533-position model. The record is from RNAcentral.
GAUGAACGCUGGCGGCGUGCCUAAUACAUGCAAGUCGAGCGAACAGACGAGGAGCUUGCUCCUCUGACGUUAGCGGCGGACGGGCGAGUAACACGUGGAUAACCUACCUAUAAGACUGGGAUAACUUCGGGAAACCGGAGCUAAUACCGGAUAAUAUAUUGAACCGCAUGGUUCAAUAGUGAAAGACGGUUUUGCUGUCACUUAUAGAUGGAUCCGCGCCGCAUUAGCUAGUUGGUAAGGUAACGGCUUACCAAGGCAACGAUGCGUAGCCGACCUGAGAGGGUGAUCGGCCACACUGGAACUGAGACACGGUCCAGACUCCUACGGGAGGCAGCAGUAGGGAAUCUUCCGCAAAGGGCGAAAGCCUGACGGAGCAAUGCCGCGUGAGUGAUGAAGGUCUUCGGAUCGUAAAACUCUGUUAUUAGGGAAGAACAAAUGUGUAAGUAACUAUGCACGUCUUGACGGUACCUAAUCAGAAAGCCACGGCUAACUACGUG